This 432-nucleotide ribosomal RNA is filed under the name uncultured bacterium. RNAcentral's name for it is "partial 16S ribosomal RNA". It matches the Rfam family "Bacterial small subunit ribosomal RNA", at positions 29 to 506 of the family's 1533-position model. The record is from RNAcentral.
AACGAACGCUGGCGGCAUGCCUAACACAUGCAAGUCGAACGAGACCUUCGGGUCUAGUGGCGCACGGGUGCGUAACGCGUGGGAACCUGCCCUUAGGUUCGGAAUAACUCCCCGAAAGGGGUGCUAAUACCGGAUAAUGUCUUCGGACCAAAGAUUUAUCGCCUUUGGAUGGGCCCGCGUUGGAUUAGCUAGUUGGUAGGGUAAAAGCCUACCAAGGCGACGAUCCAUAGCUGGUCUGAGAGGAUGAUCAGCCACACUGGGACUGAGACACGGCCCAGACUCCCACGGGAGGCAGCAGGGGGGAAUAUGGGACAAGGGGCGAAAGCCUGAUCCAGCAAUGCCGGGGGGGUGAUGAAGGCCUUAGGGUUUUAAAGCUCUUUUACCCGGGAUGAUAAUGACAGUACCGGGAAAAAAAGCUCCGGCUAACCCCGU